GACGUAGGGUGCGAGCGUUGUCCGGAUUUAUUGGGCGUAAAGAGCUCGUAGGCGGCUCGUCGCGUCGACCGUGAAAACCCGCAGCUUAACUGCGGGCUUGCGGUUGAUACGGGCGGGCUAGAGUUCGGUAGGGGAGACUGGAAUUCCUGGUGUAGCGGUGAAAUGCGCAGAUAUCAGGAGGAACACCGGUGGCGAAGGCGAGUCUCUGGGCCGAUACUGACGCUGAGGAGCGAAAGCGUGGGGAGCGAACAGG
RNAcentral lists this ribosomal RNA (253 nucleotides) under uncultured bacterium. RNAcentral's name for it is "partial 16S ribosomal RNA". It matches the Rfam family "Bacterial small subunit ribosomal RNA", at positions 524 to 776 of the family's 1533-position model. The record is from RNAcentral.